CUACGGGUCGCUGCAGUGGGGAAUAUUGCACAAUGGGGGAAACCCUGAUGCAGCGACGCCGCGUGAGUGAAGAAGUAUUUCGGUAUGUAAAGCUCUAUCAGCAGGGAAGAAAAUGACGGUACCUGACUAAGAAGCCCCGGCUAACUACGUGCCAGCAGCCGCGGUAAUACGUAGGGGGCAAGCGUUAUCCGGAUUUACUGGGUGUAAAGGGAGCGUAGACGGUGAGACAAGUCUGAAGUGAAAUCCCGGGGCUCAACCCCGGAACUGCUUUGGAAACUGCCUGACUAGAGUGCAGGAGAGGUAAGUGGAAUUCCUAGUGUAGCGGUGAUAUGCGUAGAUAUUAGGAGGAACACCAGUGGCGAAGGCGGCUUACUGGACUGUAACUGACGUUGAGGCUCGAAAGCGUGGGGAGCAAACAGGAUUAGAUACCCGAGUAGUC
Molecule: ribosomal RNA, 439 nt
Filed under: uncultured bacterium
Lineage: Bacteria
Description: partial 16S ribosomal RNA
Rfam family: Bacterial small subunit ribosomal RNA
Source: RNAcentral